RNAcentral lists this ribosomal RNA (253 nucleotides) under uncultured bacterium. RNAcentral describes it as "partial 16S ribosomal RNA". It matches the Rfam family "Bacterial small subunit ribosomal RNA", at positions 524 to 776 of the family's 1533-position model. The record is from RNAcentral.
UACGAGUGCCCCAAUGGUUGUCCGGAAUUACUGGGCGUAAAGAGUACGUAGGUGGUUUUUUAAGUUCGUGGUUAAAUCUUGAGGCUCAACCUCAAGGCUGCCACGAAUACUGAAAGACUUGAGUCAGGGAGAGGCAACUGGAAUUGCCGGUGUAGCGGUAAAAUGCGUUGAUAUCGGCAGGAACACCAAAGGCGAAAGCAUGUUGCUGGAACUGUACUGACACUGUUGUACGAAAGCGUGGGGAGCAAAAAGG